This 253-nucleotide ribosomal RNA is filed under the name uncultured bacterium. RNAcentral describes it as "partial 16S ribosomal RNA". It matches the Rfam family "Bacterial small subunit ribosomal RNA", at positions 524 to 776 of the family's 1533-position model. The record is from RNAcentral.
UACAGAGGCCACAAGCGUUAGUCGGAAUCACUGGGCUUAAAGGGUGCGUAGGCGGCUCGAAAAGUGCUUUGUGAAAUCCCGGGGCUCAACCCCGGAACAGCAGGGCAUACUUUCGAGCUUGAGGCAGGUAGGGGUCGCGAGAACAGUAGGUGGAGCGGUGAAAUGCGUAGAUAUCUACUGGAAUGCCGAUGGUGAAGACGCGCGACUGGGCCUGUCCUGACGCUGAGGCACGAAAGCGUGGGGAGCAAACAGG